RNAcentral lists this ribosomal RNA (347 nucleotides) under uncultured bacterium. RNAcentral's name for it is "partial 16S ribosomal RNA". It matches the Rfam family "Bacterial small subunit ribosomal RNA", at positions 338 to 682 of the family's 1533-position model. The record is from RNAcentral.
CCUACGGGUGGCAGCAGUGAGGAAUAUUGGUCAAUGGGCGGAAGCCUGAACCAGCCAAGUCGCGUGAGGGAUUAAGGCCCUGCGGGUCGUAAACCUCUUUUGCCGGGGAGCAGAGGUCCGGACGUGUCCGGGCCGGGAGAGUACCCGGAGAAAAAGCAGCGGCGAACUCCGUCCCAGCAGCCGCGGUAAUACGGGGGAUGCGAGCGUUAUCCGGAUUGAUUGGGUGGAAGGGGGGCGUAGGCGGGCAUUUAAGCCGGCGGUAAAAUGUCGGGGCUCAACCCCGGCCUGCCGUCGUAACUGGGUGCCUUGAGUGGGCGAGAAGUAUGCGUAAUGCGUGGUGUAGCGGU